GAUGAACGCUGGCGGCGCGCUUAACACAUGCAAGUCGAACGGUGAAGCAGGAGCUUGCUCUUGUGGAUCAGUGGCGAACGGGUGAGUAACACGUGAGCAACCUGCCCCUGACUCUGGGAUAAGCGCUGGAAACGGCGUCUAAUACUGGAUAUGUGAUGUGACCGCAUGGUCUGCAUCUGGAAAGAAUUUCGGUUGGGGAUGGGCUCGCUGCCUAUCAGCUUGUUGGGGAGGUAACGGCUCACCAAGGCGUCGACGGGUAGCCGGCCUGAGAGGGUGAGCGGCCAGACUGGGACUGAGAGACGGCCCAGACUCCUACGGGAGGCAGCAGUGGGGAAGAUUGCACAAUGGGCGGAAGGCUGAUCCAGCAGCGCCGCGUGAGGGAUGACGGCCUUCGGGUUGUAAACCUCUUUUAGCAGGGAAGAAGCGAAAGUGACGGUACCUGCAGAAAAAGCACCGGCUAACUACGUGCCAGCCGCCGCCGUAA
RNAcentral lists this ribosomal RNA (484 nucleotides) under uncultured bacterium. RNAcentral describes it as "partial 16S ribosomal RNA". It matches the Rfam family "Bacterial small subunit ribosomal RNA", at positions 28 to 523 of the family's 1533-position model. The record is from RNAcentral.